GUGGGAUAUUAGUUGCUCGGAUAAUCUUCCGGAUUACAUGAAAUAUCUCUGUGAUAAUCUUAGAGCAAUGAUGAAACAUUAAUCAUAUAUCAUGUAACCAAAUUUUAUUAUAAAUAAGAAAAGAUUCAUUAGGAAUUUAUUAAGUGGACUUUUUUGAACAUAAAUAAGAAAACAUAUCAUGGAUGAAUUCUUCUUCAUUCACUAAUUGUUUAGCUACUUAAACUACUUUGCAGUUGAAAAAAACAAAUUGGGAAGUCACUGAACCUAAAAUUUCACUAAUUCUUCUUCCAAUUUUCUAUAGAAAACUUGGCUAAAUUGUUGUAUCUAAAUUUAGCAAAUAACCGAAUUUUUGGCCAAAUACCUAAAGAAAUUGGGAAGUCACUAAACCUAAAAUUUCUAUCUCUUUCUCUGAACAACAUAUCUGGUCCUAUUCCUGUGGAAAUUGGGAAAUUGAUCAACAUGAACAAUUUAAGGCUUAAUGACAAUAGCCUUUCUGGUUUCAUUCCCCGUGAAAUUCGAACGAUGAGAAAUUUGCUUGAAAUUAAUUUGUCCAAUAACUCUCUAUCAGGUAAAAUCCCACCUACAAUAGGAAACAUGAGCAAUUUACAAAACCUUACCAUAUUUUCAAACCAUCUCAAUGAGCCACUUCCAACAGAAAUCAACAAGCUUUCGAAUUUGGCAUAUUUCUUUAUAUUUAAUAACAAUUUCACUGGUCAGCUCCCACACAAUAUUUGCAUUGGUGGAAACCUGAAAUUCUUUGCUGUUUUGGAGAACCACUUCAUUGGUCCUGUUCCCAUGAGUUUGAAGAAUUGCUCUAGCAUUAUAAGAAUUAGGCUUGAAAAAAACAACCUAUCUGGAAAUAUAUCUAAUUACUUUGGUGUGCAUCCAAAUUUGUACUACAUGCAGUUGAGUGAAAAUCAUUUUUAUGGCCACCUUUCACUCAACUGGGGAAAAUGCCGUAGCCUGGCAUUCCUCAACGUCUCCAAUAAUAACAUAUCAGGUGGUAUACCACCAGAACUAGGCGAGACAACCAAUUUAUAUUCACUCGACUUAUCUUCAAAUUACCUCACAGGAAAAAUUCCAAAGGAGUUAGGAAACUUGACUUCAUUGUCUAAACUCUUGAUAAGCAACAACCAUCUAACAGGAAACAUUCCGGUACAAAUAACAUCGCUAAAGGAACUUGAGACCUUAAAUCUUGCAGCAAAUGAUCUUAGCGGCUUCGUCACAAAACAACUUGGAUAUUUUCCUAGAUUACGUGACAUGAAUUUGAGCCACAAUGAAUUCAAAGGAAAUAUUGGCCAAUUUAAAGUCCUUCAAAGUCUUGAUCUUAGUGGGAAUUUUCUCAACGGAGUAAUACCGUUAACGCUUGCUCAACUGAUAUACUUGAAGUCAUUGAAUAUAUCACAUAAUAACCUUUCUGGAUUUAUUCCGUCAAACUUUGAUCAGAUGCUCAGCUUGUUAACUGUUGACAUAUCAUUUAACCAGUUUGAGGGUUCAGUUCCAAACAUUCCAGCUUUCCAUAAAGCUACUUUUGAAGUUUUGAGAAAUAAUAAAAGACUGUGGCAAUGUCUCUGGCUUGGAGCCUUGCCCAACAUCAAGCGGUACUAGCUCUCAUAAUCAUAAGAAAGUCUUAUUGAUUGUUUUGCCACUUGCAAUUGGAACUCUAAUACUAGUAUUAGUUUGUUUCAUAUUCUCGCAUCUCUGCAAAAAGUCAACCAUGCGAGAAUACAUGGCUCGAAGGAACACCCUUGAUACUCAAAAUCUAUUUACCAUAUGGAGUUUUGAUGACAAAAUGGUGUAUGAGAAUAUUAUUCAAGCCACAGACGAUUUUGAUGAUAAACAUCUCAUCGGAGUUGGAGGGCAUGGAAGUGUUUACAAAGCAGAAUUAGACACAGGUCAAGUAGUUGCUGUUAAAAAGCUCCAUUCAAUAGUAUAUGAAGAAAAUUCAAACCUAAAAUCUUUCACAAGUGAGAUCCAAGCACUGACAGAAAUUCGACAUCGUAACAUUGUAAAACUGCAUGGAUUUUGUUUGCAUUCUCGAGUCUCAUUUUUGGUCUACGAAUACAUGGGAAAAGGAAGUGUAGAUAACAUUUUGAAAGAUUAUGAUGAAGCAAUUGCAUUUGACUGGAAUAAGAGGGUGAAUGCCAUUAAAGAUAUAGCUAAUGCUGUAUGUUAUAUGCAUCAUCAUUGCUCACCUCCAAUUGUUCAUCGAGAUAUAUCAAGCAAGAAUAUACUUCUAAAUUUGGAAUAUGUGGCUCAUGUCUCUGACUUUGGAAUAGCUAAGCUUCUUAAUCCUGAUUCAACCAAUUGGACCUCAUUUGCAGGAACCAUUGGAUAUGCUGCACCAGAAUAUGCAUACACAAUGCAAGUGAAUGAGAAAUGUGAUGUGUAUAGUUUUGGGGUAUUAGCAUUGGAAAAACUUUUUGGAAAACACCCUGGAGGUUUGAUAUAUCAUUCCUCACUAUCACCUUUGUGGAAAAUUGUGGGCAACUUACUUGAUGAUACAUCGUUGAUGGAUAAGUUGGAUCAACGUCUCCCUCGUCCGUUGAAUCCUUUUGUUAAUGAGUUGGUAUCGAUUGCAAGGAUCGCAAUUGUCUGCUUGACUGAAAGUUCACAGUCUCGCCCUACCAUGGAGCAGGUCGCUCAACAACUUUCAAUGUCAUAUUUGUCUACAGUGGAUUAGUUUCAUGCUUGAGUUCUACAUGUUCUUUCUUGUUUUAUAAUUUUGUAAACCAUUUUAAAUUCUUUUGAAUGGAAUGCUAGUUUAUGGUAAUUGUUUCUUAAUGUCAGAUGUUAUGUCAUUUUAAUUAUAUAUUGAUAAUAUUGUAUAGUCUCAAGAUGAGUAAAGUGUUAUUAAAAUCCCCCAAGGUUUGAAUAUUUCAA
Non-coding RNA from Medicago truncatula (barrel medic), 2883 nucleotides. The record is from RefSeq and is a predicted model, not a curated record. Lineage: Eukaryota; Viridiplantae; Streptophyta; Magnoliopsida; Fabales; Fabaceae.